Molecule: long non-coding RNA, 1831 nt
Filed under: Zea mays
Lineage: Eukaryota; Viridiplantae; Streptophyta; Magnoliopsida; Poales; Poaceae
Description: long non-coding RNA (ZMAY_LNC002898)
Source: RNAcentral
AUUUACAUAAUAUAAAUCAAAGUACACAGAAUCGAAACGUAGCCAACGUAAACAACCCACCACAGGCAGCUGACUGGGGGAGGUCGCUAGCCUAAUCCUCGAACUCGUCGAAGUCCUAGAACUCCUGGAGAUCCGCCUCGACGACUUCUUCUUUACCUGAGCAUAAAUUGCACCAAAGGCAACCUGGUGUUUUGUGAAAGCAAGGGUGAGUACACAUCAACGUACUCAGCAAAUGUCCCGUUUGGCUGUAGUGGACUAGCUUUAUGUGGGGUUAAGUCAAGCAGUUGCUUUUAGUUGGUCAGGUUAUUAUUACUAGUAGAAAGCCAGGUUUUAGCAUUAACCCAAGUUCUUAACCCAAAGUACCCUUUCCAAAUGGAAAGAAUACCACUUACCAUUACCAUAAUCAUAAUAAAAAACCAUCAUCCUCAUCACCACCUGCAAACCAACCAUCUCUGGUCAAAGUAUCUCUAAUCAAAGAGGAUCCCAAGGCUGCUCUUAACCGUGAGCACGACUGAUAUAUCAAUUUCAUUCCUCUGCAGAGGUCGCACACUUUACCCACGAGUCAUGAUUCCCUUUCUGCCCGGAGAGAGCUACUCUCCAUUGACCAGUACCUAGGUGGCCUGGCAGGGUAUCACUACAUAGCUGUUACAAAGAUUCCCUAGAGGUCAUAGCCGCCCGUUAGGUUUCUCCAGUUUGAUAAACACAGUACCUCUCUCCGCAGGAGGGUGACUAACAAAAGCAAAAUGAAAGAACCUCGGCACUCAGCCUCGGCAGAGCAAGCACUGUGCCUGGACCCCAUUGACGGCACAACGGCGAAGCAACUACACCUCUAGUUCCUCUAAUUAAUUAGCUAAGGGCAUCCCAUUUCACCCUCAUGGUUGCACUGUUAUCCCGGGUGGUCUCUCAACGAACAGGUCCUUACGGAGAUGUACUCGAGAAACUGCUUGAGUCCCCUAAAUGCCACAAGUACAUCAUCAUAUCCAGAAUAAAAUCAUAGUAUCAUCAUUGUAUCUCAUCAUGUUCAUUGAUUAAAGUAAAACGCUAGCAUAUAGCUAACCAUAGUAACCCAAAAGGUAAAUCAAGGACAAGGUGAAUAGAAAGCUAGUAAAUCCUUAGGUUUCAAUUAAGUAGUGCAGGAUAGUGAAUUAUAAAUAGAUAGGACAUAAUGGGUCAGAGGACACUUGCCUUCAACAAACAGAUGCUCAGGGUCUUCAAUCUCGUAGAACUUGUAGAGUUUGAUCACUUGGUCGUCGAAGCUUGACCGUCGAUUCCUCGAAGCUUAGAAACGAAUCGUGAUCUAAUCGCAACGCGAAGCGAAGACGAACAAGCACAAGCAAACAAACAUAUGUAUAUGCAAAAGAACAUUACACUAUACAAGAUAAAAUAUUAUAAAUGCGAACAAUAUAAAAUAGAGAGCGCCUCUACGGUUACGCGAGGAAAAGAACCACGAUAGACGAAGCUAUGGUCGAGGGGUUAGCACGUUUACGCUAAACAAGUAUUAAUUAGAACAUCCAAUUCGACAUAAUUAUAUUAAUGGAUAUUAAUCAAAUAUAAAUUAAUACUACUACUUAGUUUUGACUAACUUACUAUUUUAAUAUUUGACAGUUAAGCAAGUAACUUAAUUAAUAUGAGCGAUUCUAAGCGAGACGAAUUAACGACGCACGGCGUGCAAACACGAUGUGCGCGGCGCGCGGACACAAACGACUUAGCGUGCAGACAACGCGCGAUACGCGCGAACGACACGUGGCAAGGCGCGACACACGUGAACGACGCGCGACAACGCGUGCGAACAACACGACGACGACGAGCGCCACAACACGACAGAGUGCAG